RNAcentral lists this ribosomal RNA (253 nucleotides) under uncultured bacterium. RNAcentral's name for it is "partial 16S ribosomal RNA". It matches the Rfam family "Bacterial small subunit ribosomal RNA", at positions 524 to 776 of the family's 1533-position model. The record is from RNAcentral.
GACGUAGGAGGCGAGCGUUGUCCGGAAUUAUUGGGCGUAAAGAGCUCGUAGGCGGUCUGUCGCGUCUGCUGUGAAAACUCAGGGCUUAACCCUGAGCUUGCAGUGGGUACGGGCAGACUAGAGUGCGGUAGGGGAGACUGGAAUUCCUGGUGUAGCGGUGAAAUGCGCAGAUAUCAGGAGGAACACCGGUGGCGAAGGCGGGUCUCUGGGCCGUAACUGACGCUGAGGAGCGAAAGCAUGGGGAGCGAACAGG